UACGGGGGGGCAAGCGUUGUUCGGAAUUACUGGGCGUAAAGGGCUCGUAGGUGGUCAACUAAGUCAUACGUGAAAUCCCUCGGCUUAACCGGGGAACUGCGCCUGAUACUGGUUGACUUGAGUUUGGGAGAGGGACGCGGAAUUCCAGGUGUAGCGGUGAAAUGCGUAGAUAUCUGGAGGAACACCGAUGGCGAAGGCAGCCUUCUGGGCCAACACUGACGCUCAUGCACGAAAGCGUGGGGAGCAAACAGG
This 252-nucleotide ribosomal RNA is filed under the name uncultured bacterium. Its description in RNAcentral is "partial 16S ribosomal RNA". It matches the Rfam family "Bacterial small subunit ribosomal RNA", at positions 524 to 776 of the family's 1533-position model. The record is from RNAcentral.